Long non-coding RNA from Gasterosteus aculeatus aculeatus (three-spined stickleback), 1803 nucleotides. The record is from Ensembl. Lineage: Eukaryota; Metazoa; Chordata; Actinopteri; Perciformes; Gasterosteidae.
AGCUUCUUUUUCCCCAGUUUGAACCGAGCCGGCAUCGUCUCAUCUUUCUCUCCCCGGCGCUCUCCACUACAUCGGAGGGCGAGGCGUGACACCCCUCCCCCCGUCCCCCCCCCGUCCCCCGCCGUGUGCUGCGCCUGUGGAGAGUCUCGUCCCUCACCCGGACCCAGGACACCUCCUGACAAGGUCACCGAAGUUCUGCCACUCUGAGAUUAAAACAGCUCCAUCUAUCCAGAACCUUCGGUGACGCAGAGACACGGCGUUCUCGUCCACAUCCCUAUGUCCCCCGGCUGUUGCCCCCAGCGCCCAGUAGAUGGAAGCAGAGCCACACUGACGUGGAAACUAGUCUGGUGUGACUUUCUCCAGAUGAUACUGCGGGUCUUCAGGCCAUGGACAACUUGGACAUGGGCAGCUCAGCAGGAUGGAUAUUGGCUACGACACGAGUGAUUCACCUCUCAUCGCUCCACUCUGCUGGCUGGAAUAAUGUUGGGCCCUUCACAUUUGUUCAAGACUUUGUUGGAGUUGAGUCAGAUCCAAAGAAAUCGCUGGCGGACCAAAUGUUUAUGGUGUAAAUAAGUUCCAAACAUGAGGUGAUUAGUUACAUUUGGCGGAGACGUCCUGGUGCCAAAUUGCUUGGCGAAAGACAAACGUCAGAUAACAUCCAAUAAAAAGUCACCUCACGCGCCUGCUGAGUCAGCAAAGCCGCCACAUUCUGCAAUAUCCUCACACCUUUGGCCAGCCAUUAAUCAAUACACACCUCAUUCAUCAUUCACCAUUGUUGCAACAGCGCUACAGUUUAAUCACCAAGCUCUGAUUUCAAUAAAAUCCUCCUUUAAAUGGUGCAUUGAUGAGCUGUUUUUUGACUCAGACCUGCUUGACUCAAUUAAAGAGCCAAUUUCAACCUACACACAACACAGACCUUGUGUAAUGAGGCAAGGACAAAGAUGCAAAAAUGAAAAUAAAAAUAAUUCAGUUUUCUCUCUCCUGACAAAUGCUCUUGUAAAUUGUGCAUUGCUUUGAAAGUGGGAAUCAAUACAUUUUCUUUUAUGGCUUGUGUAAAAGUUCAAUUGUUUUGAAGAUGCCUGUCCUUUGGCAAUUAACGCGGUAAAAUAUUCAACGGGGAAUGGGCAACUAUUUCAAGUUAAAUUGGAAUAUGAGUGCAAGUGGCCAAUGUUUCUUCCUACCUUCAUUAAAAUGGCUCCAAAUAACAAAUCCCUUGGGAAACGGUACAUAAAAGCCUCCUAUCUUUCUCAUUUACUUAUCCUCUAACAUUUCCUUAAAGAGCACUUCUCCAGUUCGCCGCCAAAAACUUUCUACGUUGUCUCUCUUCUCUCGUUGGUCUUUUCAUUUGUCUCCUUUUUUAAUAUGCAUUCAUUCAAUUUUAGUUGUCAAAUGGGUCUUGAAAAAGCGUAAUCUUGAAGAAAAGAAAAUCCUCCCUAAAGGGCAGGCUCGUGCAAAUGAGGUACUCUGCUAUUCUUCUCCAGUGAUGCAGAUCUGUGUUUAUUUCUCAAUAAAUUAUUGGGGAAAUACUCCUCAUAUAAAUAAUCCUGACUGCAUAUGAUUGAAAUAUGCUGUGUUGCUUUGGCAUUGUAAAGACUUUCUAAACCACUAACAAACUAUAAACAGCAACCAACCUGUUCCUACAUAUGUUGUAUGGUGUAACAUCCAAAAUGUUUCAACGUUCAUCUGUGCAGCACGUUUAAAAUUUUCAUUAUCGAAGAGAACAGUAAUCGUGAAAUUGCAACAUAAUGCACAACCUGCAAGUUUUUCUCAUAGACUGAGAACUUUGUAGAUAUCAUUGAUUAU